RNAcentral lists this ribosomal RNA (341 nucleotides) under uncultured microorganism. Its description in RNAcentral is "bacterial SSU rRNA". It matches the Rfam family "Archaeal small subunit ribosomal RNA", at positions 330 to 668 of the family's 1478-position model. The record is from RNAcentral.
GUGCAGCAGUCGCGAAACCUCCACAAUGCGGGAAACCGUGAUGGGGGAAUCCGAGUGCCCGUUGGCUAAUGCUGGCGGGCUUUUCUCAAGCGUAAAAGGCUUGAGGAAUAAGGACUGGGUAAGACCGGUGCCAGCCGCCGCGGUAACACCGGCGGUCCAACUGGUGAUCAGCAUUAUUGGGUCUAAAGCGUCCGUAGCCGGAUGGUUGGAUUUCGAGUGAAAUUCCCCAGCUUAACUGGUGGGCGUGCCUGAAACACCCGCCAUCUAGGGACCGGGAGAGGUAGGGGGUAGGCCCCGGGUAGAAGUAAAAUUCUAUAAUCCGGGGAGGACCACCGGUGGCG